Mycena leptocephala is the source of this 92-nucleotide non-coding RNA. NCBI's taxonomy places the organism in Eukaryota, Fungi, Basidiomycota, Agaricomycetes, Agaricales, Mycenaceae. The record is from the annotation of a GenBank genome assembly.
GACCUGGUGGUGAAAUGGAUCACACCUGCUUUGCCUGCUGGCGGAUAGAUCAAUAUUUGUGGGGGUCCCCGGUUCGAACCCGGGUCAGGUCA